Molecule: RNA transcript, 3764 nt
Organism: Orcinus orca (killer whale)
Lineage: Eukaryota; Metazoa; Chordata; Mammalia; Artiodactyla; Delphinidae
Gene: COPS8
Gene name: COP9 signalosome subunit 8
Exons: 8
Source: RefSeq, a predicted model, not a curated record
UCAUCGCGGGCGCGACGCCCCGAGGGACAGUCUGAGGUCCGGCUCGGCGGGGAGGUUCGGUGGCGGGACCGGCCGGGAAAAUGCCAGUGGCGGUGAUGGCGGAAAGUUCCUUUAGUUUCAGAAAGUUGCUGGAUCAGUGCGAGAACCAGGAGCUCGAGGCUCCAGGAGGAAUUGCUACACCCCCAGUGUAUGGUCAGCUUCUAGCUUUAUAUCUGCUUUAUAAUGACAUGAAUAAUGCAAGAUAUCUUUGGAAAAGAAUACCACCUGCUAUAAAAUCUGCAAAUUCUGAACUUGGGGGAAUUUGGUCGGUAGGACAAAGAAUCUGGCAGAGAGAUUUCCCCGGGAUCUAUACCACCAUCAGCGCUCACCCGUGGUCUGAGACGGUCCAGCCAAUCAUGGAGGCACUUAGAGAUGCCACCCGGAGGCGAGCCUUCGCCCUGGUCUCUCAGGCAUAUACCUCCAUCAUCGCCGACGAUUUCGCAGCCUUUGUUGGACUUCCCGUGGAAGAGGCUGUGAAAGGUAUCCUAGAACAAGGAUGGCAGGCCGACUCCGCCACGAGGAUGGUCAUGCCCAGAAAGCCAGUGGCGUGGCGCUGUCGGUUCUGCCCGGUCCAUAAGGAGAAGCAAGACUUAAUGCAGCAGCUGGGCAGGCUCGCCGCUCCUCACGACGUUUCUCACCCACUGUGAUAACCAGGGGGAGAAACAGCACAUGAAAAGGAGAAGAGGGGAAACUAGAAACCCAACCUCAACCAGGAAAGAAGCGUCAGGAAGAACCAUCUUUGGAGCUGGGGAGGGCCUGAGGUUGUCUGAGAAGGUAGCCUUGGACGGUGAAAGCCCUUAGGAGACCUUUGACCCAGACCUUUGACCUAACCUCGCCUGCAUCAGAUGCUCGGCAGGGGAGCAGAUCAUAAAGCAAAUCCAAAGAAACUGUGUGACUGUCAGAACUAAAAUGUAUUUGUGCAGAUCCUGGGAUGUCCCCGUGGCUGAAGAUGAUAACCUCAAUCAGUGGUUCUCAACCAGGAGCAGUUUUGGCCCCCAAGGUUCAUUUGGCAAUGUCUGGAGGUAUUUUGGUUGUCACAAUUGGUGGUGGAGGUCACAGGGUCCAGGGAGGCUGCUAUGCCCCCCACAGGGCCCAGAACAGCCCCACCGCAAAGAAUGAUGUGGCUCAAAAUAUCACUAGAGCAAUUCCUUUCUUUACCUACUGGCCACUGGCAUGAGGACACAAGUGAUGGUAGCCUCAACCCCAGUGGACCCAUGACAGCGCCUCCUAGCAAACUCAGGACCAUACUGCAGUGAAGCCUAAAGCUGGGACUUCAGUGGGUAGCGCAAAUUCCCUGAGGGUGACGAGACAUGCUGCUGAGGACAGGGCACCGGGUUCCCGCUAAAGGCUUAGCCCAUGUGCGGCAGCCUGUGAGCCAGGCCCUGCCUUGUUCACUGUUCCUUUAUUAAACCCUCUCACGCUCCCCAGCUUGAGUGUGCCGUCUGUUUCUCGCUGGCAACCUGACUGUCACUACACCAAUCUCCUUGCAGAGUAGUUCCCGAUGCACACUCCUGGUAAACAGCAGGAAGAGCCCAGAUCUGGAAUUCUGCAUUCCUGAUCCAAGGGUUUCUGUUUAACUUAGGGAGUUUUCCGAAGUGGUUAUACCAGUUUACAUUCCCAUGAGCAGUGUAUGAAAGUUACAGUUGUUUUACAUCCUGAUCAACAGUAUUGUGUGGUUUUCAAAACUUUAUUAUUUGAGUCCUUCUGAUGGGUGCAUAAGGAAACUUCGCAGUGGUUUUAAUUUGCGCCACUCUAAGGACCAAUGAAGUUGAGCAUUUUUUCCUAUGUUUGUUGGUCAUUGGAUAUCAUUUUUUGCCAAGUCUUUUGACCAUUUUACUGUUGGAUUGGUUUUCUUAUUUUACUCCUGACUUUAGGAGCUCUGCAUAUGUUCCGAAGAUGAGCCUUUUGUUAGAUAUGUAUAAUGCACAUGUAUCUUCCUCCACUCUAUGGGCUGCCUUUUCACCCUCCAUAUGUCAUUUGUCUUGACGUUAGUACCUGGAGUAUCUUUUCAUUGCACUUGUUUAUGCCCACUGAUUCUUGAAUUGUUUCUUUUUCCUUGGAUUCCUCUUUGAUUUUGCUGAAUUUUAUUCCAAAGCACAUUUUGGGACAGAUAGAAGAUAAUAUUCUGAUUUCUUGAAUGUUAACAGGUCUUUAUUUUGCCCUUAUUCUUUAUUGGUAGUUUAGCUGGGUAUAUAAUACUUGGAGAAUGCUCUUUUUCUACAACUGCACCAGUGAAACGGUUAUGAAGAAAAAAAUACUUCCUGACGUCUCAUUUACAAUAUAUAUUUCAAAUUUCUUAACCUUGGUUUCUUUUUGUUAAGUUUUCUUGUUUCUUAAAAUACCUGUUUCAUAGAGAUUCAAUUUCCCUGAAUGGGCCAACUGGUCUUCAGUUUUUCAUCUGCAGAAACUAGUGAGUUUUAGAUGCUUUUUUUUUUUUCUUUUAAACCCUUACAGAGGGAAAUCUAUUCCAGGUAAAAGAAUGGAAAAUUUUAGAAUUCUUAGCAUCUCUUUUUGGUAGAUUUAAUGUAAUUUGAUGUGCAAGUCAGGUAAUGGAAGGUGGCACACACCUGGGACGUCUUCUGGGGGGAACAGUUUCCCCUUCCAGUGGGCCAUCUGCUGUGGCAGUCUUCAGCUGGCUGGGAGUACUUAGCCUUUAACUCCCAUUGCCAGCUGACAGAGGUCAGCAGGAGCUGAUGCAACAGAAUUUUCUGCUCCAUGCAGAGAGCUGCCCUCCCCACCUCUCUCUCUAAGCAGGUAUUAUAGGCUGAGGUUGCCCCAGACUGGCUGCAGCAGGACUGAAAUUCAACCCCUAUGCACUCAACCACCAUAAUCUGUAGCCCCCUCUGGAAGAUGUAAAUGGUGGGAUGGUCCACAUUUUCCUUUAAUCUCUUUUUUUUUCUGGUACCAUUUCUUAUUUCAGAGCAUCAGGAAUUCAGGAAUUUAGAUGGUGCCUUUUCCAAUUCCCAGUGAUUAUGGAGAAUUUUCCUUAUUAUUCUGUUAGGUCAUCUCAGUGGGGAUUUGGUAGAGUAAAGGAUAUAAAAACUACUAAAGGUUAGAAUAUCACCCUGAAUGAGAAGAUCUAGUAGAAGCUUUGUGAUGGAAAUCAUCUGUAGAUUUAAAUGCAUGCCAAAGAGCAAAUUCAGAGAUUUAAGGAUUAAAUGUGAUUAAAACACAGACUUUUGACUAUUGCUUCAGUUUCUAGUAAAACCCAUAGCCAAUUGGACGGUCUCCCUUAUUAGCUCAUUCUGAAAUCAUCAGCAGUUUACAUUUUACUCGAGUGAUCCAACAGCUCUGGCUUAAUUAUCCAUGAAACUGAAGGUAGCCUUCAGCUAGAAGAGCUAACUGACCUGCUUCUUAAUUCAAGCUGCAGGAAAUCCAAGGUAUGUCUCUGAAAAUGCCUUGAUUACAUACAUACUUUGGAGAGAUUCACAAUUAAUCUUUACCAAGUGUUCCCAUAAAUGCUAGUUUGAAUUCUUUUUAAAUCGAGAUAGCAUGUCAAGGAUUUCUAUAAUUAGUUCAACUCGACCUCUUGAUAGUCAACAUGUUUAUUUUUGGAUGACUAUUUGCUAUUAGCUCUACUGCUCAACACUAAAAUACAGUCCCUUAAUCCGAAAAAGAAUAUAUCUAUAAAUGAAUCAAUUUGCUGUACACCUGAAACUAACACAACAUUGUAAAUCAACUAUAUUUCAAUUAAAAAAUAAAAUAAAAUACAGGCCCUUUCCUAA